Molecule: long non-coding RNA, 435 nt
Organism: Rhododendron vialii
Lineage: Eukaryota; Viridiplantae; Streptophyta; Magnoliopsida; Ericales; Ericaceae
Exons: 3
Source: RefSeq, a predicted model, not a curated record
UAGGCAAUGAACAGCUGGGGAAAGCCAAUACGUGUUAGCAAUGGAGAAAAAGAUUCAUGGGUAUCACCCUUUGACGUAUCUUCUAUCUUUAUUUUGAAAAGAAAAAUUGAUAGUCAAUUAGCUAAAUGACAUUCUAAUUUCUUAAAGUUGCUUAUACACGUAUUUUAGGAACAAUCUGGUAAAGAUAUAUCUAAAGGAACACUUGCGCAACGUGCUCGACGAGAACGAGAACGAAUUUUUAAACAAACCACUGAAAGGCGAUCGGAACAACACUCGCCGAUAAAUACAAGUAUUCAACCUCUCCGAGAUGGGCAUAUUAGAGCCGAUGGGCGAGACCACCAUGCUAUCCAUGUUCAUGAGGAUAUACAAAAACUAGGGGCAAUGGCUAAGAAAAGGAAGGCAACGUAUGUAGGGAGUGGAAAGGAAAACUCUGAG